Spinacia oleracea (spinach) is the source of this 4660-nucleotide RNA transcript. It is a transcript of the gene named mitochondrial carrier protein CoAc2, with no coding region annotated. The transcript is spliced from 9 exons. The record is from RefSeq and is a predicted model, not a curated record. Lineage: Eukaryota; Viridiplantae; Streptophyta; Magnoliopsida; Caryophyllales; Amaranthaceae.
UUUUCAGAUUUUUAAAACCCAAUUAUUAUUAUGCUCUUUCUCUUUUACUGAAUGUUCUCUUAGAAAAAAAAAGUCGGCUUUCCAAUUUUGACUUUCCGCAGCUUAUAAUUAAAAAAACAAAUACGCAGUCACCAAUCACCAUCACAUUUCCAAGCAGAACUCCAAUGGCGAAGAAGAGUGAGGGAGGAAUGUCUUUCGAUGGAGUCAUUGGAGCCAUGCCUGUUUUCGCCAAGGAGCUUCUCGCCGGUGGAGUUGCCGGCGGCGUCGCUAAAACUGCCGUAGCUCCUCUUGAACGAAUCAAGAUUCUUUUCCAGACGAGACAAGCGGAAUUCAAAAGUAUUGGUUUAGUAGGUUCGUUUACUAAAAUAGCUAGAACGGAGGGAAUACUCGGUUUCUACAGAGGGAACGGGGCAAGUGUCGCACGGAUAGUUCCUUAUGCAGCACUGCAUUACAUGGCAUAUGAGGAGUACAGACGACGGAUCCUUCUUUCUUAUCCAGAUGUCUGGAAAGGCCCUGUGCUUGACCUUGUUGCAGGGUCAUGUGCAGGUGGAACUGCUGUUCUUUUUACAUAUCCUCUUGAUUUAGUGCGUACAAAGUUGGCUUAUCAGGUUGUUGGAUCUUCCAAUUCAAAUGUUAAAGGGCUUAUUCACCAAGAGCAAUUGUACAGAGGAAUUCGUGACUGCUUUUCCAUGACAUUUAAAGAAGCUGGUUGGAAAGGUCUUUACCGGGGAGUAGCACCGUCACUUUACGGAAUAUUUCCAUAUGCGGGAUUAAAAUUUUACUUCUAUGAGGAGAUGAAGAGCCAUGUAUCCGAGGAACGCAAAAAAGAUAUCAUGGUGAAAUUGACAUGUGGCUCUGUAGCUGGAUUAUUGGGCCAAACCUUCACAUAUCCUCUUGACGUUGUUAGGCGGCAAAUGCAGGUUGAGCGGAUGUCUAAUGUUAGUAAUACAAAAGGAACUUUGCACACACUUUUUGCUAUAGCUCGAAAACAAGGCUGGAAACAUUUGUUCUCGGGGCUAAGUCUGAAUUAUUUGAAGGUUGUGCCCUCGGUUGCUAUUGGCUUCACUGUGUAUGAUUCAAUGAAGUUGUUCCUGCAAGUUCCCUCCCGAGAUGAAGCCAUUAUUGCCAAUCACACCAAUAACCACACGUCGUCCCUUCAUUCUUAAAAGCCAUUGAAUACUCAGAUACACUGAUUCAGUAUAGCAUUGAAUAAUUUAAACUGUAUAUCUUUGCAGCAUCUUCAUAUUUUGAAGGGAGUUUGAAGUGAAUAAAUUCAUUUUGCUUCGUCCCCUGACUCAGUUUGAUGCCUGUAGAAAUUCUGCCAACACUUGAAGGGUACGUGUCAAUUUAAACCAGGUAUGGAUUGGCAAGAAGAAGAAGAAUAGUCUACUGGAGCAUAUACAAAAGAGAACUUUGCAGCAUCUUCAUAGAAGGGAGUUUGAAGUGAAUAAACUCAUUUUUCUUCGUCUCAUGACUCAGUUUGAUGCCCGUAGCAAUUCUGCCAACACUUGGAGGGUGUCGAUUUAAAACCAGGUUAGUCAACUGCUUCAAUUUUUUUUAAUUUAAUCCUCCUCUAUUUGACUCUGUUAUCGGCUGAUCUUAGUGAUUACACUUCUAUAUGUGCUUCUCAGCCAUAUCUAGUUUAGUCCAUGCUUUCUAAUUUUAUACCCUUGCUUAGGAGUACUUGGUUGGACUGCUUCCAUAUAGGGCCGUGUUUGGUUCAGGAGACCAUUUUAAGUUGAACAUAUAUAUUUUCUUUGGAAAUAUCAUUUGAGUGGGAAUUGGUUCUGAAACUUCAUUUGUUUUUUUUUAAUAAUUAAAAGUUAUUUUAUAAUUGUUUUUACUUUCUUAAAUAUGUUUUCUAAGAAAGGGAUACAUUCUAGUAAGAUGCCUCCACAAAGUCACAUAACAAGAGAGAUGUCAAAAGUUGUGGCUUGGUAGAAUUUGAUGACGAGAAGUCGCUAUUAAUUGGCUUGUCUAAGUCUUCCAUGACGUUGAACAAGACUUGACCUGUUUUUCUACGAGAGUUAGGCUAAUUGGAGAACUAGUUCAAGAGUAAGCAAAGUGUCUAACUUGUUAGAAACCCGAAAUUAAUUAAUGGAUUAGUGCAUUACAAACUUUUAUGUAAGGCGGUUUUAUACAAAAGACCGUCUUGGUGUCAUAUAAGUUAAGCAAUGGAACCAAGUAGUUCAGCACUUGAACCAAUUAGUUAAGCUCUUGAACUAAGUAGUUAAGUAAUGGGGAUAAUUAGUUAAGCAUUGGAACUAAUUAGUUAAGCAUUGGAACUAAUUAGUUAAGCAAUAUAGCUAAUUAGUUAAAUGGAACCCAUUAGUUAAGCAAUCAAAAUGGUCUUUUCGGUAAGGCGGUGUUACACAAAAGUUGUCGUUAGUGCAUUAUUUGAGUAAUGAAGACGGGAUUGAAACAUGCUAAAAACAGAAACUAGAUAAUUAUUACUAAGUUGAGAGUAAUAUAAGGCAGGGCCGAGGCCGACUGCAAGUCUGCAACACAAACACAAACCCCUUUUAAAGAGUUCAAAUUAUUCCCUUUGUUUUCGUAACAAAGAUACACUAGAUAGAAAUGUAGCCAUUAGAGGUUGAGGUGUAAACUAGCUUAGCAAGAAAGGUUAUUUCCAGGUGAAACACCAAUCUGCUGACAAUACUGAGUAUAGUAACUAACACGAGCAUUGACAGCAGCUGUGUUUCCUCCACCACAUUCCAUUCCAUUGAUAGCUCGAAUGGUUGACCCAAACCCUUGACCAGAGGUGAUCUUAGAAUGAACAUUGUUCAUCCAAAACCAGAAUCCUGUCUUGAAGGCAACAACAGCGUCGUUUGCAACAGUUUCUGGUGAAUUCAAACCGUCAAAUCCAAUGCUUCUACCUGCAGGUAUGUAGUUGUAGUUCCAUGAUAUUUGAAUUGGUCCUCUGCCGUAGUAUUGCUUGCUUGGAUUACAGGGGAAUUGUGCACUGGAUUGACAGUAGGUUGAUUUCGCAAUCUCCUCUUUAUAGCAAAAAUCUACAAGAAAUUGAAACAAGUUUCAUGUGAUCAAUACGUUGUUGUUGAGUUUUGUAAACAUUCAAAGGCAAUUAAAGGUAUAUAUUCAACUAUAUUAAGUCCCGUGCAUGCAAGGAUAGAAAUACAUAAAAGAAUAAAUAAAACAGAGAUAUUUUAGGAAAAUAUUUUUGGCGGGAAAAUUUUACACAAGGAGCGACACGUGUCUCUCCUGGUGUCUGUUUUAGUAUAAUAUAUAUAUAGAUAUAUAGAUAGAUUCAUAAUAGUGAUCGACUUACGUCCAGUUUCAUGGGUGUAAUGAGCAAACAUGGCAGCAACUUCACGCUUCCUAUCGUCAGAGGAUCCUACAGUGCCGAACUGAGGAUAGCUAUUGAGAGCACUCAGGAAAGCAGACCUGGUGUAGAAGUUCUUACCAGCACAGCCUGAGCCUGCUUGGUUAACGAUCCCAUUAAAGAAGGAGUCGGUCACUAAACUCGAGACCGAACCACCACCACCGCUUGGAGUUGGGGUGGGAGUAGAGGGAGUUGAACCAGAAGUACAAGGGCCUUGUCUGCAGUCUUUGCCACAGUAGGCGUCUGAUGUGCCACAGUAACCAUAUUUACUACAGCAAAAACCAGGUGCACAGCCACAGUUUUGAGCCGCGACUAGGGCACUUGACAAACAAGCAACCACCACGAGUGUGGCGAGCAUUGGUGGGAGGGAAGACAUUUUUAGUUGUUGAGUGUUUCUGAGUGUGUGUGUGAUGUGUGAUGAGUGAUGAGUGGAAAUGGGUUGGUUUAUAUAAGAAAAAUGAAAGAGAAGAAGACAUGAAUCAUAUAGUAAAAUAUUCAAAGUGUUGACAAUUGACUUUGGAUGGGGCAGCCAGUUUAUGCGAAUGACAACUUUGACUUGUUCAAGGAGUAUGAGUGAAUGAGUGAAUGAUAUUUUAUGCAUUCAUUCGUUCUUCAUUUUAAUUAUGAUGGGCAUGGAUUGGCAAGUAGAAGAAGAAGAAUAGUUUAUUGGAGUCUGGAGCAUAUACCAUUAUUUAUUUUAUGAUUAAUGAUUAUACCCCAUCUAAGUCAUUUUCGUCUCUGACUUUGUGGACCGCCUCUUGGAACUUGGCCACUUGGGAGAGGUUGUGGGGACAGGGGAGUCGGAAGGUGGAUGGAUAAGGAAAAUAUACGCUCGUAAGAAAUAUAGUCGCUUACUUUCUACGUUUUUUUUACUUGCACAAGUUAGAUUGGAUACAAAGAAUAAGAAAAAGUGUAAAUAUCACCAACAAAAUAGAGCGAAAAUGUUAUGUAACAAAUGGUAAAUGUGAAAAUGUGGGAGUAUAAUUUCUCAUCUGUUUCUUACAAAAGAAAGUUGAGUACACAUUUGUAAGAGUGAGAGUCGGGUUAUAACCUGAUGAUCUCUUUCAGAAGAAAAAAGGACCGAGACAAACUACUUAUUGUCUCUUAGGUAGGUUUUAUUGUUUUUUUUUUUUGACAUUUUUAUAGUACGUAGAUUAGUGUCAUUUGCUCAUAUGUAUUGCAAAUGAAUAAAUUUCCAAAGGAAUUUGUAUCAAUUUAAAUAUUAUGUUAUUUAUUAAUUUAUUCAACUCAAGUAUGGAGUCAUAUUUGUUGGAUAUUUUAAUAGAACAAUGCAAUAACAUCACAUAAACUCCUUAAUCC